CACGUAGUUAGCCGUGGCUUUCUGAUUAGGUACCGUCAAGAUGUGCACAGUUACUUACACAUUUGUUCUUCCCUAACAACAGAGUUUUACGAUCCUAAGACCUUCAUCACUCACGCGGCGUUGCUCCGUCAGGCUUUCGCCCAUUGCGGAAGAUUCCCUACUGCUGCCUCCCGUAGGAGUCUGGACCGUGUCUCAGUUCCAGUGUGGCCGAUCACCCUCUCAGGUCGGCUACGUAUCGUUGCCUUGGUAAGCCGUUACCUUACCAACUAGCUAAUACGGCGCGGGUCCAUCUAUAAGUGACAGCCGAAACCGUCUUUCAACAUUGAACCAUGCGGUUCAAUAUAUUAUCCGGUAUUAGCCCCGGUUUCCCGGAGUUAUCCCAGUCUUAUAGGUAGGUUACCCACGUGUUACUCACCCGUCCGCCGCUAACAUCAGAGAAGCAAGCUUCUCAUCUGUUCGCUCGACUUGCAUGUAUUAGGCACGCCGCCAGCGUUCAUCCUGAGCCAGGAUA
Molecule: ribosomal RNA, 511 nt
Filed under: uncultured Staphylococcus sp.
Lineage: Bacteria; Bacillati; Bacillota; Bacilli; Caryophanales; Staphylococcaceae
Description: partial 16S ribosomal RNA
Source: RNAcentral